This 301-nucleotide ribosomal RNA is filed under the name uncultured bacterium. RNAcentral's name for it is "partial 16S ribosomal RNA". It matches the Rfam family "Bacterial small subunit ribosomal RNA", at positions 509 to 807 of the family's 1533-position model. The record is from RNAcentral.
CAGUAGCCGCGGUAAUACGAAGGGUGCGAGCGUUACUCGGAAUUACUGGGCGUAAAGCGUGCGUAGGUGGUGGUUUAAGUCCGUUGUGAAAGCCCUGGGCUCAACCUGGGAAUUGCAGUGGAUACUGGGUCACUAGAGUGUGGUAGAGGAUAGUGGAAUUUCCGGUGUAGCAGUGAAAUGCGUAGAGAUCGGAAGGAACAUCAGUGGCGAAGGCGGCCACCUGGGACAACACUGACGCUGAGGCACGAAAGCGUGGGGAGCAAACAGGAUUAGAUACCCCCGUAGUCCCUGUCUCUUAUAC